This is a long non-coding RNA of Symphalangus syndactylus (siamang), 1025 nucleotides long. RefSeq lists it as uncharacterized. Lineage: Eukaryota; Metazoa; Chordata; Mammalia; Primates; Hylobatidae. The record is from RefSeq and is a predicted model, not a curated record.
GGUUCUAGAAACACACUGUCUAUACUUUGAUAAGUCGCUCUAGUGCCAGUGGAAAGGCCAAGUAAUUCACCAUAAUAGGUAGAUGCUAGGACAAACACUUACCUUAAGAUCGAUGAAUGGAGAACACAUUUUCUAGAGAUGAGCAUGACAAUAUCCACCAUUCCAUUGGAUACUCUUCCCAUGGCAGGUUUUGCAUCUUCUCCCAUUGAAUCUGGGAGGGCUUGGGCACAAUGCCACGUGACUUCCAGGGGAACCCUGUUUGAGAACAUGUGAGCACUUCAAGACGACAGCACAGAUUGGCACCACAACUUUCCCAGAGAUCAUCAGACUCAAGUAAAGUGGCAAAAAAUGUGUAUUCUAUGCCUCUGUGACCCCAGCCCCCUCCAUCUCCGGCGGACUAGGUUGAAGUGCUGGUCUGCUCCUGUGGUCCUCUUCAGCCAGCAUGGGACUGGUGAGGAAAAGGCUGUGCUGGACUCCUCACCGCCCGGCUACCUGACCUUGGUGUUGAGCUUCAGGUCCACGUUGGUGCUGAUGUAGAGAUAGCAGCCAGAACUCUCUGUGGAUCAAAGCUGCAGAUGGACCUUAGGCCUGUAGCUGGAGGGGGACGUGGCAGAGUACAGCAGUCUGCUGCCCUCAGUAGCUGGGGAGACCUUGUAAGGGCAUCCACUGGCCAAGUCAAAAGGACAGAAAGGUUCAUCUCCCUCAUCCUCGACAUACAUAAACUUCAGCAAGGUGAACAGCCACCCAGGACACCAGCCCACACACAUGGAAGGACCGUCAUGGACCACAGGGCAUCCUCUCCCAGCACCACCUAGUGAGAGAGGCAGGAAGAAGGGAGCCUCCAGGGAAGACUGAACACUUCUCCCUAAAUAACAGACUGAGAGUACAUUUCCUAAAUGGCCAGUUGAGAUGACUAGAUCAAACUCAGUUUAGACUCAUUGGACAUUCGAUGAAUUUUCCUGCAGCAAGUAGUGAUCUGGAAAAAGACCAGAUCAGCAACAGAAAAAAUAAAGACCUUAUAUCCU